RNAcentral lists this ribosomal RNA (467 nucleotides) under uncultured bacterium. Its description in RNAcentral is "partial 16S ribosomal RNA". It matches the Rfam family "Bacterial small subunit ribosomal RNA", at positions 28 to 506 of the family's 1533-position model. The record is from RNAcentral.
GACGAACGCUGGCGGCGUGCUUAACACAUGCAAGUCGAACGGAAAGGCCCUGCUUUUGUGGGGUGCUCGAGUGGCGAACGGGUGAGUAACACGUGAGUAACCUGCCCUUGACUUUGGGAUAACUUCAGGAAACUGGGGCUAAUACCGGAUAGGAGCUCCUGCUGCAUGGUGGGGGUUGGAAAGUUUCGGCGGUUGGGGAUGGACUCGCGGCUUAUGAGCUUGUUGGUGGGGUAGUGGCUUACCAAGGCUUUGACGGGUAGCCGGCCUGAGAGGGUGACCGGCCACAUUGGGACUGAGAUACGGCCCAGACUCAUACGGGAGGCAGGAGUGGGGAAUAUUGCACAAUGGGCGGAAGCCUGAUGCAGCAACGCCGCGUGCGGGAUGACGGCCUUCGGGUUGUAAACCGCUUUCGCCUGUGACGAAGCGUGAGUGACGGUAAUGGGUAAAGAAGCACCGGCGAACUACGU